UGAAGUUUGUGAAGCCACUCAACUUGUACCAGGACUUGCUAAAGCUGUGUGCUGUGGAUCGAGGGCGAUUUCUUGGUUUGGAGGUUUCGUGAUAGAUAUGUUGGCCUCGCGGUUUCGGAUUUCGACAAUAAAGUUGCUUCACCAUUAAGCGUUUUAGUUAGGAAGAAAACAAUAUCGGUCUGAUGGCUCUUGAUUUCGAACAUCUGAUAUCAAAACUGUCUCUGUCUGCCUUUAUUGUUGGAUACCCAUAUGAAAACAUGCAAAAGAACAGCAAAAAUGCAAGUGUCUAUAUCAUAUUGUAA
Molecule: long non-coding RNA, 302 nt
Filed under: Helianthus annuus (common sunflower)
Lineage: Eukaryota; Viridiplantae; Streptophyta; Magnoliopsida; Asterales; Asteraceae
Description: hypothetical non coding rna
Source: RNAcentral